UGGGGAAUAUUGCACAAUGGGCGAAAGCCUGAUGCAGCGACGCCGCGUGAGGGAUGACGGCCUUCGGGUUGUAAACCUCUUUCAGCAGGGAAGAAGCGAAAGUGACGGUACCUGCAGAAGAAGCGCCGGCUAACUACGUGCCAGCAGCCGCGGUAAUACGUAGGGCGCAAGCGUUGUCCGGAAUUAUUGGGCGUAAAGAGCUCGUAGGCGGUUAGUCGCGUCUGCUGUGAAAACUCGAGGCUCAACCUCGGGCUUGCAGUGGGUACGGGCUGACUAGAGUGCGGUAGGGGUGACUGGAAUUCCUGGUGUAGCGGUGGAAUGCGCAGAUAUCAGGAGGAACACCGAUGGCGAAGGCAGGUCACUGGGCCGCAACUGACGCUGAGGAGCGAAAGCAUGGGGAGCGAGCAGGAUUAGAUAGCCCUGGUAGUCCACGCCCUAAACGAUGUCAACUAGUUGUUGGGAUUCAUUUUCCUUAGUAACGUAGCUAA
Molecule: ribosomal RNA, 488 nt
Filed under: uncultured bacterium
Lineage: Bacteria
Description: partial 16S ribosomal RNA
Rfam family: Bacterial small subunit ribosomal RNA
Source: RNAcentral